RNAcentral lists this ribosomal RNA (253 nucleotides) under uncultured bacterium. RNAcentral's name for it is "partial 16S ribosomal RNA". It matches the Rfam family "Bacterial small subunit ribosomal RNA", at positions 524 to 776 of the family's 1533-position model. The record is from RNAcentral.
UACGUAGGGGGCAAGCGUUGUCCGGAUUUAUUGGGCGUAAAGAGCGUGUAGGCGGCUAGGUAGGUCCGUUGUGAAAACUCGAGGCUCAACCUCGAGACGCCGAUGGAAACCAUUUGGCUAGAGUCCGGAAGAGGAGAGUGGAAUUCCUGGUGUAGCGGUGAAAUGCGCAGAUAUCAGGAAGAACACCAAUGGCGAAAGCAGCUCUCUGGGACGGUACUGACGCUGAGACGCGAAAGCGUGGGGAGCGAACAGG